AAUACAUGCAAGUCGAACGCUUCUUUUUCACCGAACUUCGGUUCAUCGAAAAAGAGGAGUGGCGAACGGGUGAGUAACACGUGGGUAACCUGCCCAUCAGAAGGGGAUAACACUUGGAAACAGGUGCUAAUACCGUAUAAUGCUUUUUCUCGCAUGAGAGCAAGCUGAAAGGCGCUUUUGCGUCACUGAUGGAUGGACCCGCGGUGCAUUAGCUAGUUGGUGAGGUAACGGCUCACCAAGGCCACGAUGCAUAGCCGACCUGAGAGGGUGAUCGGCCACACUGGGACUGAGACACGGCCCAGACUCCUACGGGAGGCAGCAGUAGGGAAUCUUCGGCAAUGGACGAAAGUCUGACCGAGCAAACGCCCGCGUGAGUGAAAGAAAGGUUUUCGGAUUCGUAAAAACUCU
Molecule: ribosomal RNA, 408 nt
Filed under: Enterococcus sp. oral taxon A43
Lineage: Bacteria; Bacillati; Bacillota; Bacilli; Lactobacillales; Enterococcaceae
Description: bacterial SSU rRNA
Rfam family: Bacterial small subunit ribosomal RNA
Source: RNAcentral